RNAcentral lists this ribosomal RNA (429 nucleotides) under Chloroflexota bacterium. RNAcentral describes it as "Chloroflexi bacterium partial 16S ribosomal RNA". It matches the Rfam family "Bacterial small subunit ribosomal RNA", at positions 355 to 776 of the family's 1533-position model. The record is from RNAcentral. Lineage: Bacteria; Bacillati; Chloroflexota.
UGGGGAAUAUUGCACAAUGGGCGCAAGCCUGAUGCAGCCAUGCCGCGUGUAUGAUGAAGGCCUUCGGGUUGUAAAGUACUUUCAGCGGGGAGGAAGGGAGUAAAGUUAAUACCUUUGCUCAUUGACGUUACCCGCAGAAGAAGCACCGGCUAACUCCGUGCCAGCAGCCGCGGUAAUACGGAGGGUGCAAGCGUUAAUCGGAAUUACUGGGCGUAAAGCGCACGCAGGCGGUUUGUUAAGUCAGAUGUGAAAUCCCCGGGCUCAACCUAGGAACUGCAUCUGAUACUGGCAAGCUUGAGUCUCGUAGAGGGGGGUAGAAUUCCAGGUGUAGCGAUGAAAUGCGUAGAGAUCUGGAGGAAUACCGGUAGCGAAGGCAGCCCCCUGGACGAAGACUGACGCUAAGGUGCGAAAGCGUGGGGAGCAAACAGG